RNAcentral lists this ribosomal RNA (745 nucleotides) under uncultured bacterium. Its description in RNAcentral is "bacterial SSU rRNA". It matches the Rfam family "Bacterial small subunit ribosomal RNA", at positions 33 to 773 of the family's 1533-position model. The record is from RNAcentral.
ACGCUGGCGGCAGGCCUAACACAUGCAAGUCGAGCGGUAGAGAGAAGCUUGCUUCUCUUGAGAGCGGCGGACGGGUGAGUAAUGCCUAGGAAUCUGCCUGGUAGUGGGGGAUAACGUUCGGAAACGGACGCUAAUACCGCAUACGUCCUACGGGAGAAAGCAGGGGACCUUCGGGCCUUGCGCUAUCAGAUGAGCCUAGGUCGGAUUAGCUAGUUGGUGGGGUAAUGGCUCACCAAGGCGACGAUCCGUAACUGGUCUGAGAGGAUGAUCAGUCACACUGGAACUGAGACACGGUCCAGACUCCUACGGGAGGCAGCAGUGGGGAAUAUUGGACAAUGGGCGAAAGCCUGAUCCAGCCAUGCCGCGUGUGUGAAGAAGGUCUUCGGAUUGUAAAGCACUUUAAGUUGGGAGGAAGGGCAGUAAAUUGAUACUUUGCUGUUUUGACGUUACCGACAGAAUAAGCACCGGCUAACUCUGUGCCAGCAGCCGCGGUAAUACAGAGGGUGCAAGCGUUAAUCGGAAUUACUGGGCGUAAAGCGCGCGUAGGUGGUUCGUUAAGUUGGAUGUGAAAUCCCCGGGCUCAACCUGGGAACUGCAUUCAAAACUGACGAGCUAGAGUAUGGUAGGGGGUGGUGGAAUUUCCUGUGUAGCGGUGAAAUGCGUAGAUAUAGGAAGGAACACCAGUGGCGAAGGCGACCACCUGGACUAAUACUGACACUGAGGUGCGAAAGCGUGGGGAGCAAAC